GUGCCAGCCGCCGCGGUAAUACGUAGGGGGCAAGCGUUGUCCGGAAUCAUUGGGCGUAAAGAGCGUGUAGGCGGUCCGAUAAGUCCGCUCUGAAAGCCCGGGGCUCAACCCCGGGAGGCGGGCGGAUACUGUCGGGCUAGAGUCCGGAAGAGGCAAGUGGAAUUCCUGGUGUAGCGGUGAAAUGCGCAGAUAUCAGGAGGAACACCGAUGGCGAAGGCAGCUUGCUGGGACGGUACUGACGCUGAGACGCGAAAGCGUGGGGAGCAAACAGGAUUAGAAACCCCAGUAGUCC
This 292-nucleotide ribosomal RNA is filed under the name uncultured bacterium. Its description in RNAcentral is "partial 16S ribosomal RNA". It matches the Rfam family "Bacterial small subunit ribosomal RNA", at positions 505 to 796 of the family's 1533-position model. The record is from RNAcentral.